UUCCUGGCAAGUCCUUCAAUGGGCUUAGUGUGUUUAGAUUUAUGAGGGAGUGAAUGACCUUCUCUGCCACAGUUUUUUACAUUUUCGUUUUUCCAGGACUGAUUUUCCAUCUGGCCUAACCAGAGUCUGAAGUUGCUGAAUCAAACAGAGCCAAUAGGUCGGACUUGAGCUGACUGGAGCAUGCACAGAGCUGGGAAGCACAACUUACCCUGUAUUUCAUGCAAUACAAAGGAAGAUGGCUGUUUGGGGUUGCCGUGUCUCUUAGCAAUUAAGGAGAUGGCUACAGCCAAGCAGUGUGAAGUGACAGCACCAGAAAGUUUUCUACACCAGAGGCUGAGAACAGGGGCUGUGCAGUCAUAUUCAAUAUUGAGUCCCCAACCCUAACCCGGACCUGGCACAUACAAGACAUUCAGCAGAUGGCUAUUGAAUGAAAAUAUAUAAAUGAAUCAACGAUUACCAGCUGCCUCCACUCCCUUAACCUGCUACAGAAUUAAUAAACUAAUCUUGAGCAUAGUGGAUAUAUAAAAAUAAAAGUAUCGUUGAGGACUGUCAGGCCAGCCUCUCUGUACUGGUUGCUACAUUCUGCUUGUUGAUUUAUGCUACUAAUUACUGUCACUUUUAUUUUGGAUUUGGACAGAAAACAAGAGUGUUACUUAAAGGAAGGCUUCCAAAUUUCUAAGUGUAGGGAACCCUGCUAAGGACAUGGAGCUUCAAAGGGCUCACAAGAAAUUUAUCACACAUAUGUGUGCACAUGCAUAUGGCACACACACUCAACUUUGUAACAUGUAGUAGACCACAUCUAGAAUAAUAUAAAAUUUCUAUCGCAAACAAUCAGCUCUUGACCCUCCAAGCCCAUGGCUGAGUUAAAGAUGAUAUGGCAUCCCUGUAAAGAUCAGAAGGAAAAUAGUAGAGAAGAACCCAGAGUUUCCCUCUAAACCAGGGUGUGUUUCUUUUUUUUUCUUUCUUUUUUUUUUUUUUUUUUUUUAGCAUGUGUUUCGAAACCUUGGCUUUACAACAGAAUCACCUGGUGGGCUUUUAAAAAUGUCAACACUCAGACCACACCUAAGACCAAUUACAUCAGAAUUUCUAGGGAAGCGAACCAGGGAAUUAUUUUUUCAAGUACCCCUGGUGCUUCCACCAUGCAGCCAAGGCUGAGAACCACUGCUCUAGAUUCUUCCUCCCCUUGAGCCCUACUAUGUGCCGGCGUUAUAUGGGGCAAUGUCUUUUCCUUCAAUUUAUUGAUGUAAAAUGUUAUCCACUUUACAUGGCCAAGCCUACACCCUGGAAGGGAAGCAAUUUUAUAAGCCCUCAUUAUUUACUCUAUAUGGUCGGGGCACUAGGAAAAUAAGAAAAAAAAUGUUUUUUUUUUUUUUUUUUUUGCACUCACUUGCUUAAGCUAUCCCCUUAAUACCUAAAGGGAAGCCUUUAGUAUAAUUUUUUAUAAGAACAGUGACAGUAAGACUAUUUGGGAACUGAAGCCAUUCCAUAGAUGAACUCUACAAAGUUUAAUGUACACACUUCAAUUUACAUGCGAUGAGAUAAAAUUGUUAAUGUUUGGAGGUUCGCAGCUUUCUCCCUCCAUCUUUGCCCACUAAGCUCCUUAUUUCUCCUUCACUUUCUAUUAAUAAAAGGGAAAAAGUCAGAUGCUCGUGAACAAUUAGCAUAGAACCAACCCUCAAUCUCCAGGGUGCUUCUUGGAGCUGGGGAUAUGAUUCAUCUAGAGCCUGUGUAGACUUACACAUGGCCCAGAGAAGAGAAGGGAUCAAGGGACCAAGGGGGCAGAGACAUGGCAGAAGAAAUAGAAGCCCAAAGGAAUAUAGGGGUGCUAAAGAUAGAAGCAGACAAGAGAUUUUAAUGAAUUUCUAAGGACUAAGUGUUUGGACUCAUUUACAUGUUUUUGAGAGUGCGAAGUGUAAAGACUAAACCUGCUGUGUAGGCCAUGCUACUGAACUCUAACCACCCUCUGGACAGGAUGGCAGGGUCAUGCCUUUAUGUGAGUUGCAUGAAUGCACUGAGUGGGCAGGUCCACCACUGGAGCACUCAAAAUGUGGCUAGUACAACAGAGGUACUGCAUUUUCACAUUUUGUUGGUUUUAGCUAAUUUAAAUAGGCAAAUGUGGCUAGUGGCUACCCAUACUGAACAGUGCAGGCCUACAGUGCUUAAUCACAGGACACACACCUAUCUGUUUAUGCAUGUAUGGACACCUACUUACAUAAAUGGUUUUGUAUUUGCACAUAAUUAUAUACCCUCAUAUCUCAAGAAUAUACAUACAGACACAACUAGACACAAUUGCAAAAACAAGACACCUAGUCUUGUGGAAAGAUAAAAAGAAUAAAAAUUAAAAUUGGAAUUAUUGCAUGGGUCCAUGUAGGGAGAUUUGACACAAGAAGAAUUGGAGCAAAAAGCACAUGGGUGUGUUGGACAACAGGAUGAAUUUGGGAUGAUGCUUUGAUAACAAAAAAUGAAGGAAAGAAAAUCCUGUGAGACCACCAGUGGUUUAGGAAUACAAGCAGCUUUGUUUCCCUUGAUCUUUUAAUCUUUCAGCAAAAGACCUUUACAAAUGACAUACAUCCUUCAAAGGUGGACUUGACUGUCAAGGAUUGCCCUGAUAACUGGGAAGAACUCCAAAGGGCAUAGAUAGAAAAGGGAAGAAAGCACUUCUUAACAAGGAUGACCAAAUUCUCUAAAUGAUAUUCAUUCACCAAAAACAUUUUAGGCACUCUUGUUUCCAGGAGAAGUAUUUAUUCCAAAGUUAUUAAAACUGUAUGAGAUGGACUAGAUGAAUUUCCAGUUGUCAGAAUUAUUAGUUUACCUAAAAGUUAUACCAAUUCAUGGACUAUAAUAUUAACUUUUUCCCUAUUGAACAGGUAACUGAAUUCUACCCAUAUGAACUAAACAAUAAUUCCUCCACCCAGAAGUGGUAUAAUUGUUGCCAGCUAGAAAUAUUAUGAUUUGCUUUCCAGUUCUCAUAUUAUCCAUCUCAGUCUCUUGAUGUAUACCGUUUACUAAUGCUUGCCUUGCAGGUCUUUCAAUAUGCUGUGCUCCUGCCUGCCUCUUAGUCUUUGCCCAUGCUGUCCCCUGUACAUGAAACGCUCUUCCCAAACUCUUACUGAGUUAACUUCUGCAGAUCUUCCAGGUCUCAUCUUACCAUCCUUAGGAAUGUCAUCUCCAACCUACCCUACCUGUCCCACAUUAGAUCAGUCCUUCCUGUUUUAUGUUUUCAUAAUACCCUGUUCUUCUCUUUCAUAGCCCUUUUUUACAGUUAUAAUUACUGAAUUAUUUGUGUCUUUAUUAUUUAAUUUUAUUAUUUAAGUUUAUCUCACUCUCUGGAUUGUGAACCCCAUGAAUACUUUGGUUCAGAUAUUGUAAUCUGCCUUAUUCAUCACAGUACUAUGUCCCCAGGAUGUAAUACAAAACUCAGCCAAUAGUUGAUGCUCAAUAAAUACCAAUUAAAUGUUCAAUAAAUGAAUAAACGUUUCACUCUAGCUUUAUUUAUCUAAUUCCUCCCUUUCUUCCAUUUUUCUGUAUCAUAAGCUAUACUAUUAUACAGUCCUACACAAUGGUAAACAACUAAAAAAACUCCUAAGCCCUGUACACAGUUGAUUAACUCUGAUAUUCCUCGUUCAGUUCCCCUUAAGAUCUGAUAGACCAUCUGGUGGUAUAUCAUUUAAGUCACGGCAGCUAUAAACAUGUUAAGGCCCAGCAU
Molecule: long non-coding RNA, 3706 nt
Filed under: Homo sapiens (human)
Lineage: Eukaryota; Metazoa; Chordata; Mammalia; Primates; Hominidae
Description: HSALNT0166279
Source: RNAcentral